UGAGGAAUAUUGGUCAAUGGGCGGGAGCCUGAACCAGCCAAGCCGCGUGAGGGAGGAAGGCCCUAUGGGUCGUAAACCUCUUUUGUCAGGGAACAAAAGCGAGUAUGUAUACUAGUCUGAGUGUACCUGAAGAAAAAGCAUCGGCUAACUCCGUGCCAGCAGCCGCGGUAAUACGGAGGAUGCGAGCGUUAUCCGGAUUUAUUGGGUUUAAAGGGUGCGUAGGCGGCGGUGCAAGUCAGCGGUAAAAGCCCGGGGCUCAACCCCGGCGAGCCGUUGAAACUGCAGUGCUAGAGAAGGCGAGAGGUACGCGGAAUGCGCAGUGUAGCGGUGAAAUGCUUAGAUAUUGCGCAGAACUCCGAUUGCGAAGGCAGCGUACUGGCGCCUGACUGACGCUGAAGCACGAAGGCGUGGGUAUCGAACAGGAUUAGAUACC
RNAcentral lists this ribosomal RNA (433 nucleotides) under uncultured bacterium. Its description in RNAcentral is "bacterial SSU rRNA". It matches the Rfam family "Bacterial small subunit ribosomal RNA", at positions 355 to 786 of the family's 1533-position model. The record is from RNAcentral.